GUGGCGAGAGGAUUCAGUCUGGCGUCUCGUGCGCGCUUGACCGGAAGACAAUGAUGGCUUCCCGGGAUCGGGCGCCGUCCGGUCGCGCGGUCGCGUCCCGUCAGACGCAUUUGACUCUCGCCCGAAGGACGCUGCAGCCGGUGGGGCAGUUGCAAACGUGACGGCCUGAAGGUCGGGAGAUGGCAGUUGACCGGUGGCGCGCACUCCGCGUGCCUGCCGGUUGUUAGCCGUCCCGUCAGUGGCCCGUCGCCCCACCGUGGUGUCACUAGGCCCUAACGGGCCCUCUCCGUCUCCUUAAAGUUAAGCGAGUAGAUCGCCGCUGGAGCGGACCGCCGACUCGUCGCACUCAUUGCGUGUGGACGGUUGAGCGAGUCUGCGCCGCAGGCGGACGGCAGGGCUCGCCGGAGACCGGAGGCUCGCAGCGAGUAGGUCGGUCACCCACCCGACCCGUCUUGAAACACGGACCAAGGAGUCUAACAUGUGCGCGAGUCAAUGGGUCUUGAACAGGCCCAGAGGCGCAAUGAAAGCAAAGGCUGGGCGUCGUGCCGGCCGAGUUGGGAUCCCCGCUCUCGGGCGGGGCGCACCAACGACCCGUCCCGUCCGGCUCGCCGGUGGGGCGGAGUGUGAGCGUACACGUUGGGACCCGAAAGAUGGUGAACUAUGCCCGGACAGGACGAAGCCAGAGGAAACUCUGAUGGAGGUCCGC
This 706-nucleotide ribosomal RNA is filed under the name Portia labiata. RNAcentral's name for it is "eukaryotic LSU rRNA". The stretch from base 464 to 706 matches the Rfam family "Eukaryotic large subunit ribosomal RNA", at positions 665 to 878 of the family's 3401-position model. The record is from RNAcentral. Lineage: Eukaryota; Metazoa; Arthropoda; Arachnida; Araneae; Salticidae.